AGUACCAUUGGAGAUAUUCGAUAAAAUUGGAAUGAUACAAAAAAGAUUAACAUGGCUUCUAUGCAAGGAUGACACGUGCAAAUUGAAAUCCUAGUUGAU
Molecule: small nuclear RNA, 99 nt
Organism: Prosopis cineraria
Lineage: Eukaryota; Viridiplantae; Streptophyta; Magnoliopsida; Fabales; Fabaceae
Source: RefSeq, a predicted model, not a curated record